RNAcentral lists this long non-coding RNA (301 nucleotides) under Hordeum vulgare. Its description in RNAcentral is "long non-coding RNA (HVUL_LNC010183)". The record is from RNAcentral. Lineage: Eukaryota; Viridiplantae; Streptophyta; Magnoliopsida; Poales; Poaceae.
GCGAUGGAGGUGGUCAGCAUUGACGGGUUGUGGUGUCUGAUCAAGGGAUAUAAUAUACCGUUGGAUAGCUAUUGAAAAUGUGCAGCAUUGUCAUGUUAAACACUUUUCGAGAUUCCUCCCGGUUUAAAAGGAGUUUCAAAAAUGGUGGUCAUGCGACGGGUGGCAGCGAGUGUAUAUUCGUCAUUUUUUUCUAAACCUCUCGUCAGAAUGAAGCAAAGGAUCCGAUUGUUGGAAAGAUAUCGUCGAAGUGCAACUUAUUCAUGUAGAUUACACUCUCUAAUUCCUUACGGUUUAAGAGCAG